GUUGCUGCUAUAUCUCGCUCCUCGCUAAUUACGUACUUGUAUCGAUCCACUGAUAUGGAACGUGCUGGGGAUAAUAUGUUGUGUCUGCGUCGCAAUGGAGAAUCUUCGAGUUUGAUGCAUACGAACAUGUUGCAGAUAGAAAGACGUAGAGAAUAAACGAAAGAAAGAAAACACAGAUGCAUAAACAUAUAUAGUAUGUAUGUAUGUAUUUAGUUAAAUCAUCACAGGA
Long non-coding RNA from Scaptodrosophila lebanonensis, 229 nucleotides. RefSeq lists it as uncharacterized. The record is from RefSeq and is a predicted model, not a curated record. The transcript is spliced from 2 exons. NCBI's taxonomy places the organism in Eukaryota, Metazoa, Arthropoda, Insecta, Diptera, Drosophilidae.